This 458-nucleotide ribosomal RNA is filed under the name Agrocybe sp. 'alnetorum'. Its description in RNAcentral is "Agrocybe alnetorum partial small subunit ribosomal RNA". Lineage: Eukaryota; Fungi; Basidiomycota; Agaricomycetes; Agaricales; Agrocybaceae. The record is from RNAcentral.
CCGUGAUGAACUAACCGUCUGUCGCUGGGGAGGAGUUCCGAUAGGGCCAAAUCCCACAAAACUACCUCCAAAUUUUUAUCUCUUCCUUUAUAAUUUAAAAAGAAGAAAAAAAAUUAGGGUGAAUAACUAAAUAUCACUAUAGAUUUUAUUAACAUUUAUUUUUUUACUUAAUUUGAAAUACAAUAAAAAAAAGAACAAAAUAAAACUCAAUAUGAACCUAGUGACCAGGUAAACGAGUUAACUGGGGCUACUGCUUUUUUUAUAUUAAAAACAUAAAUUUAAACAGUUUCGCGAUUAUUAUUUUUAUAGUGUUUGUUAUACUUAUCUAGUUUAAUCGCUUUAUAAGCAUUUUAAACUUUUUAUUAGACUAUUAACAGUUUAGUUAAGGAUUAGUAGUUUCGAUGAACCCUUCUGAGUAACUAAUCUUAAAAGUCAUAGCAAGGUAGCUUGUACUGGAA